This 813-nucleotide ribosomal RNA is filed under the name uncultured bacterium. RNAcentral describes it as "bacterial SSU rRNA". It matches the Rfam family "Bacterial small subunit ribosomal RNA", at positions 8 to 808 of the family's 1533-position model. The record is from RNAcentral.
AGAGUUUGAUCCUGGCUCAGGAUGAACGCUGGCGGCGUGCCUAACACAUGCAAGUCGAACGGAGCGCCCGGACGGAGUAUUUCGGUACAAAGACCGGGUGGCUGAGUGGCGGACGGGUGAGUAACGCGUGGACAACCUGCCGUGUACAGGGGGAUAACAGCCGGAAACGGCUGCUAAUACCGCAUAUGCGCACAGUGCCGCAUGGCACAGGGCGGAAAGCCUAGAUCUUAUCUAGUACGGUACACGAUGGGUCCGCGUCUGAUUAGGUAGUUGGCGGGGUAACGGCCCACCAAGCCCACGAUCAGUAGCCGGCCUGAGAGGGCGGACGGCCACACUGGGACUGAGACACGGCCCAGACUCCUGCGGGAGGCAGCAGUGGGGAAUAUUGCACAAUGGGGGGAACCCUGAUGCAGCGACGCCGCGUGAAGGAAGAAGUAUCUCGGUAUGUAAACUUCUAUCAGCAGGGAAGAAAGAGGCCGGUACCUGACUAAGAAGCCCCGGCUAACUACGUGCCAGCAGCCGCGGUAAUACGUAGGGGGCGAGCGUUAUCCGGAUUUACUGGGUGUAAAGGGAGCGUAGACGGCCAUGCAAGCUCGGUGUGAAAGGUGCGGGCACAACCCGCAGACUGCACUGAGAACUGUAUGGCUGGAGUGCCGGAGGGGCAGGCGGAAUUCCUGGUGUAGCGGUGAAAUGCGUAGAUAUCAGGAGGAACACCGGUGGCGAAGGCGGCCUGCUGGACGGCGACUGACGUUGAGGCUCGAAAGCGUGGGGAGCGAACAGGAUUAGAUACCCUGGUAGUCCACGCCGUAAACG